This 468-nucleotide ribosomal RNA is filed under the name uncultured bacterium. RNAcentral describes it as "partial 16S ribosomal RNA". It matches the Rfam family "Bacterial small subunit ribosomal RNA", at positions 28 to 507 of the family's 1533-position model. The record is from RNAcentral.
GACGAACGCUGGCGGCGUGCUUAACACAUGCAAGUCGAACGGAAAGGCCCUGCUUUUGUGGGGUGCUCGAGUGGCGAACGGGUGAGUAACACGUGAGUAACCUGCCCUUGACUUUGGGAUAACUUCAGGAAACUGGGGCUAAUACCGGAUAGGAGCUCCUGCUGCAUGGUGGGGGUUGGAAAGUUUCGGCGGUUGGGGAUGGACUCGCGGCUUAUCAGCUUGUUGGUGGGGUAGUGGCUUACCAAGGCUUUGACGGGUAGCCGGCCUGAGAGGGUGACCGGCCACAUUGGUACUGAGAGACGGCCCAGACUCCUACGGGAGGCAGUAGGGGGGAAUAUUGCACAAUGGGCGGAAGCCUGAUGCAGCAACGCCGCGUGCGGGAUGACGGCCUUCGGGUUGUAAACCGCUUUCGCCUGUGACGAAGCGUGAGUGACGGUAAUGGGUAAAGAAGCACCGGCUAACUACGUG